UGGGGAAUAUUGGACAAUGGGCGAAAGCCUGAUCCAGCCAUGCCGCGUGUAGUGAAGAAGGUCUUCGGAUUGUAAAGCACUUUAAGUUGGGAGGAAGGGCAGUACAGUUAAUACCUGUGCCUGAUUUUGACGUUACCGACAGAAUAAGCACCGGGCUAACUCUGUAGC
Molecule: ribosomal RNA, 168 nt
Filed under: uncultured Pseudomonas sp.
Lineage: Bacteria; Pseudomonadati; Pseudomonadota; Gammaproteobacteria; Pseudomonadales; Pseudomonadaceae
Description: partial 16S ribosomal RNA
Rfam family: Bacterial small subunit ribosomal RNA
Source: RNAcentral